RNAcentral lists this transfer RNA (89 nucleotides) under Gammaproteobacteria bacterium. Its description in RNAcentral is "tRNA-Ser". It matches the Rfam family "tRNA". Rfam says of the family: Transfer RNA (tRNA) molecules are approximately 80 nucleotides in length. Their secondary structure includes four short double-helical elements and three loops (D, anti-codon, and T loops). Further hydrogen bonds mediate the characteristic L-shaped molecular structure. tRNAs have two regions of fundamental functional importance: the anti-codon, which is responsible for specific mRNA codon recognition, and the 3' end, to which the tRNAs corresponding amino acid is attached (by aminoacyl-tRNA synthetases). tRNAs cope with the degeneracy of the genetic code in two manners: having more than one tRNA (with a specific anti-codon) for a particular amino acid; and 'wobble' base-pairing, i.e. permitting non-standard base-pairing at the 3rd anti-codon position. Lineage: Bacteria; Pseudomonadati; Pseudomonadota; Gammaproteobacteria. The record is from RNAcentral. RNAcentral also lists the same sequence under 1 other name.
GGAGAAGUGGCUGAGUGGUCGAAAGCGCUCCCCUGCUAAGGGAGUAUAGGUAUCCCCUAUCGAGGGUUCGAAUCCCUCCUUCUCCGCCA